UCUUCAUUUUACGCACUCUAUCUCACCGGUCAGACAGGCGAGAGAGUGUGUGUGAAAUGAAGAGA
RNAcentral lists this microRNA precursor (65 nucleotides) under Pristionchus pacificus. Its description in RNAcentral is "mir-8364 microRNA precursor family". It matches the Rfam family "mir-8364 microRNA precursor family". The record is from Rfam by way of RNAcentral. Lineage: Eukaryota; Metazoa; Nematoda; Chromadorea; Rhabditida; Neodiplogasteridae.